This 268-nucleotide unclassified non-coding RNA is filed under the name Malvipezia howsei. RNAcentral's name for it is "Peziza howsei partial internal transcribed spacer region". The stretch from base 1 to 46 matches the Rfam family "Eukaryotic small subunit ribosomal RNA", at positions 1786 to 1831 of the family's 1831-position model. Lineage: Eukaryota; Fungi; Ascomycota; Pezizomycetes; Pezizales; Pezizaceae. The record is from RNAcentral.
AAGUCGUAACAAGGUUUCCGUAGGUGAACCUGCGGAAGGAUCAUUAAUGAAAAACUAUUUUUUUAGUUCUUCAUACCCCAUUGUUUACUUUACCAUGUUGCUUCCACGUGGACAGGCUUUCGAGCCCUCUAGCCAGCUUGAUUCGUCAUGAAAGGCCGGGGAGUUGCCCGUGGUAAGACCCUACAAUAAAAACUUGAUAAAAACCAAAAUGUCUGAUAUCUUCAUUAAAAAUGAAAUAAAACUUUCAACAACGGAUCUCUAGGCUCUU